This 497-nucleotide ribosomal RNA is filed under the name uncultured bacterium. Its description in RNAcentral is "partial 16S ribosomal RNA". It matches the Rfam family "Bacterial small subunit ribosomal RNA", at positions 28 to 507 of the family's 1533-position model. The record is from RNAcentral.
GAUGAACGCUGGCGGCGUGCCUAAUACAUGCAAGUCGAGCGAACGGACGAGAAGCUUGCUUCUCUGAUGUUAGCGGCGGACGGGUGAGUAACACGUGGAUAACCUACCUAUAAGACUGGGAUAACUUCGGGAAACCGGAGCUAAUACCGGAUGAUAUUUUGAACCGCAUGGUUCAAAAGUGAAAGACGGUCUUGCUGUCACUUAUAGAUGGAUCCGCGCUGCAUUAGCUAGUUGGUAAGGUAACGGCUUACCAAGGCAACGAGGCAUAGCCGACCUGAGAGGGUGAUCGGCCACACUGGAACUGAGACACGGUCCAGACUCCUACGGGAGGCAGCAGUAGGGAAUCUUCCGCAAUGGGCGAAAGCCUGACGGAGCAACGCCGCGUGAGUGAUGAAGGUCUUCGGAUCGUAAAACUCUGUUAUUAGGGAAGAACAUAUGUGUAAGUAACUGUGCACAUCUUGACGGUACCUAAUCAGAAAGCCACGGCUAACUACGUG